Molecule: transfer RNA, 71 nt
Filed under: Panaorus albomaculatus
Lineage: Eukaryota; Metazoa; Arthropoda; Insecta; Hemiptera; Rhyparochromidae
Description: tRNA-Lys
Source: RNAcentral
CAUUAAGUAACUAAAAUGUUAGUAUUGGUCUCUUAAACCAAAAUAUGGUAAUUAACAAAUACCCUUAAUGA